This 126-nucleotide small RNA is filed under the name Marmota monax (woodchuck). Lineage: Eukaryota; Metazoa; Chordata; Mammalia; Rodentia; Sciuridae. The record is from RNAcentral.
GCCAGGCUUGGUGGGACAUGCCUGUAAUCCCAGUGACUUGGAGGCCAAGGCAGGAGGAUUGCAAGUUCAAAGCCAGCCUCGGCAAUUUAGAGAGGCCCUAAGCAAUUUAGCAAGACCCUGUCUCAA